Molecule: unclassified non-coding RNA, 200 nt
Filed under: soil metagenome
Description: partial contains internal transcribed spacer 2 and large subunit ribosomal RNA
Source: RNAcentral
AUGCCUGUUCGAGCGUCAUUAUAACCCUCAAGCUCAGCUUGAUGUUGGGGCAUGCCUUUGCAGCUCUUAAAAUCAGUGGCAGUGCCUGUUGGCUCUAAGCGUAGUAAUACUCCUCGCUAUAGACUCCAGCAGAAACGCGCCAGAACCCCUAAUUUUCUAUGGUUGACCUCGGAUCAGGUAGGGAUACCCGCUGAACUUAA